CUUCAUCUACCCGGUCAAAUCCUGCCGGGGGGUGGCGGUGAAGCGAGCCGAAGUGACCAAGCUGGGUCUCGGGAGCGGGGACAUGCGCGACAGGUGUUGGACUGUGAUAAAAGAAGAUGGGAAUAUGGUGUCUGCAAAGCAGGCGCCUCGCUUGGUGCUACUUUCUGUAACCUGUGAAGAUGGCUAUAUAACCCUGAAUGCUCCAGAAAUGAAGGCACUGAGGAUUCCUGUUGAACUCCCCAGCACAAACUCAGUCUGGAAUUGCAGACGGUUUGGAAUAGAAGCUCAAGGUAGGGACUGUGGAGAUGAGGCAGCGCAAUGGAUCACCACCUUCAUGAACAUGGUGCCGUGUCGAUUGGUGCAUUAUGAAGCAAACAUGUUAACGAGGAAGCCAGGAGAUUUCCUGCCUGCUUUUCCACCUACAGAUGAGGUUGCAUAUGCCGAAGGCAGUCCAAUCUUACUAAUUUCUGAAGCUUCCUUGGAGGAUCUAAAUAACCGUCUAGAAAAGAAAGUUGCAAUAACAAAUUUCCGGCCAAACAUUCUUGUUACAGAUUGUAGUCCAUAUGAGGAAGAUGCUUGGGUUGAAAUAUUAAUCGGUAAUGUGGAGUUGAAAGGAAGAAUGUCUUGUCCCAGAUGCGUUUUCACAACAAUUGAUCCAGAUACUGGGAUCAUGAAUGGAAAGGAACCACUGAAAACACUGAAAAGUUAUCGCAAGUGUGAUCCUUCUGAACAACAUGACUUUAAAAAUAAUCCUCCCUUUGGAUGGCUAUAUGGAAUUGAUAAAACUGGAAUAGUCGAAGUUGGAGACCCUGUGAAACAGCCUCAAAUAUGGUGAAUGUUGCCAUUUGGAUCAUCCAGAAAAGCUAGUAUAAAGGAACUGAAAUUUCAGUAUAAAGAGUUUUGAGAGCUUUGAAACGGCUCAGGGAAGUUGCCAUGUGCCUUAAGAAAAAUCUAAUCUCUGGAUCAUAGAGACAUCAGAGGCAGUGCUACUCUAGUGUGGUGAUGGACAAAUGGAGUUAAGCCUGUCACCUAAACCAGUAAUCUUCAACGUUUUCAGAAGCAGGACCCACCUUUAAUCCAAACAUGCAUUUGGGGACCCACUUACAGUAUUCUUCUUAUUUUUUACCUUCUAUUUGCAAGCUGAUAGUGUUGCUAUUGUGAUCCAUCAUAGGUCGUGAUGCAGCCCGCUAGUGGAAGACUAAUGUCCUAAGCCAAACUGUUAUAUAGAGGAGGCCCUUUACACGGGAGGCUUCUGCAUAUCUGUUUAGUUGAAGAGAGGGAUUUGCAUCACCUCUCUUGUUCACUGUUGUAGAGCUGUCUUAGCUGACUGUAUGAACUAGGGGUAACUCUUUUCUAAAAGUGGCAUCACACUUUACAUGGCAGUGUCAUUUGCCACAAGUAUACCACUGUUUCCUACAACCAACACAAAGAUAAUUGCUGUGCAUAUACUUGUCCACUCAAGUAGAUCCUUAUCUACUUCCUCACAUCUCACAUACUUAAAACUAUAGAAUUUACUACCACAAGUUGUCGUUAUGUCCAUCAAUUUGGAAGGCUUUAAAAGGGGAUUUAGACAAAUUCCUGGAGGAUAAGGCUAUCAGUGGCUACUAGUCCUGAUGGUGCCAGUAUCAGAGGCAUUCUGGGAACAUGACUUGGAAGAUGCUAUUGCACUCAUGUCUUACUUGUGGGUUUCCUAUAGGCAGCUGGUUGGCCAUGGUAUGAACAGAAUGCUAGACUAGAUGGAUCUUGAUCUGGCUUUUCUUCUGUUCUUGGACAUGACCUAAUCAGGGCCAUGUACAUCUAUGUGUACACCCAUGUGUUCAUGGGUAUUUUAGAAGCAUAUUCGUUAUUCCACUUUGCAGGGUUCCUUUGGAAACAGUGUUGUAUUAACAGCAAACAUGACUGGAAUGUAGGGUGCAAAACUGUUUUAAACAUUUGGAACUUGCACAAUUCUAGUAGGGGCCAGGUGAGCUUUGGGACAAGGGAAACUGAUUAGGAGAAAACUUUUAUGUACUUGAAUUGUUAAAUAAAACCUACUUGUCUCAGGGAAAAUACCAAAAGAAAUAAACUCAAAUCUGAAGAUAAUUGUUGUAGAUUUUAAGUGUUAAAAUGUAAUGCUUCAGUGGCUUAUUAGUACCGCUUGUUACUGCAAUAAUAAUCUCUAGUGCAACUGUGGCCUUAGCUAGACCUAAGGAUUAUCCCAGGCAAAUGGAGGGGUUGUCCCUGCCUGCUCCCGGUAUCCCGUUUGUCAUUUGGAUGUACAGGGACAAUCCCGGGAUAUAGGCCUGGUCUAGCCAUGGCCUGUGAUUUCUGCGAGUGUGCUUAGAACUCCAGGUUUAUAUGUUGAUCCUAUGUAUUUUUCUUGGAAGGAAUUCUCAAGGAGUUCAGUCUACAUAGGACUAUUAGUCUUACAGUCUGAACAUGAGCAUGUUUACUGACAAGCAAGUCCCAUAUAAUUCAAGGGAAUUUAGUACUGCACCAAUAACCAGUUUGUUCAUACAAAGGGAGCUACAUCAGCCAAGCGUUUUUUCACACACUCGCUGCUGCCCACUUACGGAUGUUCGCACAUCUUUUAGAGGACGUCAUCCGCCUCCCACAACUGCCUCCUGCUUGUUUUUCCAUUGCAAAGUAGACCCCUUUUAAUCCGUCUUUUUUAAAAAUGGAACGUGCUGCCAUUUCCUGCUGUGUGUAGGAAAGGCAGUGCAAUAUAAAUAGCCCUUGAAUGGGCCACGUGGUUGUUGCUGCUGCUUCCUCUUUCUCUCCCCAUGUAAAGAGACUGUCGCUGUUGUGGUACAGCAGCAAGAGGCCAUAGUGAUAUUAGGAAAAUGCGAAAAUCCACCUGUCUGAUGAAACUCAAUGUCAUCCUGUGGAAGUCGAAGUGGUUCAUGAAUUAGUAUUGUGUUACUGCUGCCCACUGAAGUUGAUUCAUUCACUGCAUUUUUCCCAUCAAAGGAGCAAUUUGCUGAUGUGUGUACCUAGAUACCUGUAAUGUACAGAAUGUUUUGUACAUUACAGGGGAUGUAAUGUAUAGAAGUCUAAUAUUACUCUAAAGCAUAUGGCAUGAUGAAAAACAACAAAAAACUUGUGGCACCUUAAAGACCAACAAAUUGA
This is an RNA transcript of Elgaria multicarinata webbii, 3108 nucleotides long. It is a transcript of the gene named mitochondrial amidoxime reducing component 2-like, with no coding region annotated. The record is from RefSeq and is a predicted model, not a curated record. NCBI's taxonomy places the organism in Eukaryota, Metazoa, Chordata, Lepidosauria, Squamata, Anguidae. The transcript is spliced from 9 exons.